Oncorhynchus tshawytscha (Chinook salmon) is the source of this 782-nucleotide long non-coding RNA. RefSeq lists it as uncharacterized. NCBI's taxonomy places the organism in Eukaryota, Metazoa, Chordata, Actinopteri, Salmoniformes, Salmonidae. The transcript is spliced from 4 exons. The record is from RefSeq and is a predicted model, not a curated record.
UAUGAAUGAAUUAUGCUAUUGAGCCAUGCACUGGUCAUGUUGCUUGGUACAAAUUGGGCUCCUACUAUGUUAAGCACAUCAACCAGAUGUUGGACUAUACGUCAGCUGAGAAUCACUGCAAAUCUGUGAAGUCUGGUGCUCAUCUGGUAUCAAUCCACAAUGCUGAGGACAACAAUGCCGUGGAUGAAUUCAGUCAGUGGAGCAGCCGACAUAACCCUCGCAUCUGGCUCGGUGGUCAUGCAGUAAAUGACCCUUCACAGUCUAUCAACUUCCUCUGGGCCGAUGGGUCCGAUAUGAAUUUCUAUGCCUGGAUUCAGGAACCCAAGCAACCAUCCGGUGACGGACGUUGCAUGGAGAUGAACUGGCUUGGUAAGCAAGGGAUAACUGGCUGUGGUUGGAAUUGUGGUUGGAAUUGUGCUGGUGAAACCCUUACAUUUCUACUGCUUGAGUACUGGCACUUCUAGAAUAUUCUGGGACCUUUUAUUUUAUUCCAAAAGGUGCUGUGGGGUUGGGAGGCAGAAAAUGUUUCAUUUUAUUUUUGUUUCUGACAUAUGAUGACAUACAUUACAGUCAGUUUCAAUCCACCCAAUGUACGAAUUUCUGAUAAUGGUUGUAUUUGAAUAUUCUAAACACAUUGCAUUUGAGAAUGCUAUAUUUUGUCAGAAAACAACAUAACCCUAUCCAUUUUCUGGAUGAAUGGUGUUGAUAUUGUUUCAGUUGUUUGAAAGAUGAGACAUUACGCAUUGCUUGGUUUGCAAAUAAUAAAUGAAUUUUGUCAUCCA